AAUNGGAAUCACUGGGNGUAAAGCNCANGUNGNCGGCUUGGUAAGUCAGGGGUGAAAUNCACAGCCCANCUGUGGAACUGCNUUUGAUACUNCCNGGCNUGAGUACCGGAGAGGGUGGCGGAAUUUCCAGGUGUAGGAGUGAAAUCCGUAGAUAUCUGGAGGAACACCGGUGGCGAAGGCGGCCACCUGGACGGUAACUGACGCUGAGGUGUGAAAGCGUGGGUAGCAAACAGGAUUAGAUACCCUGGUAGUCCACGCUGUAAACGAUGGGUGCUGGGUGCUGGGAUGUAUGUCUCGGUGCCGUAGCUAACGCGAUAAGCACCCCGCCUGGGGAGUACGGUCGCAAGGCUGAAACUCAAAGAAAUUGACGGGGGCCCGCACAAGCGGUGGAGUAUGUGGUUUAAUUCGAUGCAACGCGAAGAACCUUACCCAGGCUUGACAUCUAGGGAACCCUUCGGAAAUGAAGGGGUGCCCUUCGGGGAGCCCUAAGACAGGUGCUGCAUAGCUGUCGUCAGCUCGUGCCGUGAGGUGUUGGGUUAAGUCCCGCAACGAGCGCAACCCCUAUCUUCAGUUGCCAGCAGGUAAGGCUGGGCACUUUGGAGAGACCGCCCCGGUCAACGGGGAGGAAGGUGGGGACGGCGUCAAGUCAUCAUGGCCCUUACGCCUGGGGCUACACACGUACUACAAUGGCGCGCACAAAGGGUAGCGAGACCGCGAGGUGGAGCCAAUCCCAAAAAACGCGUCCCAGUCCGGAUUGGAGUCUGCAACUCGACUCCAUGAAGUCGGAAUCGCUAGUAAUUCGAGAUAGCAUGCUCGGGUGAAUGCGUUCCCGGGCCUUGUACACACCGCCCGUCACACCACGAAAGUCGGUUUUACCCGAAGCCGGUGAGCUAACUCGCAAGAGAAGCAGCCGUCUACGGUAGGGCCGAUGAUUGGGGUGAAGUCGUAACAAGGUAGCAAUCACUAGUGAAUUCGCGGCCGCCUGCAGGUCGACCAUAUGGGAGAGCUCCNA
Molecule: ribosomal RNA, 1012 nt
Filed under: uncultured Bilophila sp.
Lineage: Bacteria; Pseudomonadati; Thermodesulfobacteriota; Desulfovibrionia; Desulfovibrionales; Desulfovibrionaceae
Description: bacterial SSU rRNA
Rfam family: Bacterial small subunit ribosomal RNA
Source: RNAcentral